This is a long non-coding RNA of Gallus gallus (chicken), 981 nucleotides long. Lineage: Eukaryota; Metazoa; Chordata; Aves; Galliformes; Phasianidae. The record is from Ensembl.
AUGCCUGGGAAGGCAAGAUGGAGGUUUCAGGGUGGCCAUGAGCCCUCAUGGCGGCUGCAGCUCCUCACAGGGAGCGGAGGGGCAGCGCUGAGCUCUGCUAGUGGAUGAAUGCAGCCUUCAUCAGGUUUCUUGUCUGAAGCCUCACAAGAAAUACAUUUCAAAAUGAAAGUCUACAGUAUUUUGCAUUUAUUCAGGAAAAACUACUUAGGAGUCUUACGAAAGCCUAGAUUCCUGUGGCCAAGACACCCAACCUAGGAAGGUGGAAACACUGCGACUCUGUGACAUGGCUCCAUACAGCAUAUGAAGGCUGAACAGCUCCAGCUCUCUUAUCCUGUCCAUCCCUUGGAUCAUAUUUGUGGCCCUCCUCUGGAUGUGCUCCAACAGGUCCAUGUCUCUCCUGUACUGAAUACUCCACAUCUGGAUACAGUUCUCCAGGUGAAUUCUCACCAGUGCAGAGUAGAGGGGGAGGAUCACCUCCUUCAACCUGCUGGCCGCACUUCUACACACUCUGCUUAACCCACAGUGGGACUCAUAAGUGUGAGAUCGUAUGGAACUUCGGCGGCUUCUAAUUAAAUCACUUCUGAAAUUAGCCCUGCCCUGGAUGGACAUCAGCAAGAAGGCUUGCUGCUCGUGGAGAAAUGGUGGCACAAGCAACCGGGGGCGCAGAGCAAGCCGUGAACCAGUGUGGAGCUCAGUCCAUUCAGCCUGGCAACACUCUCCAUAUUGCCAGAGGUUCAAUCGCGUGGGAGGAGGAGACGACACGACCCAGCAGCCGUGCCCGCUGGAAAGCCGUGGUGUGCCCCAAGUGCAAGAAUAUCUGUGCUGGCUGCAUGUGCACAAAGGGCUGCAUUUGCAUAAAACCAGCGCCAAGCCGGAGUGAAAACAAUGGGAGAGUGUGUAGGUAGGCACCUACCCAGCACCCGGCUCUGCCUGCUGGAGAGGGUUUGGUUUCACGGCAGGAGCACAAAUAAAGCGUGAUGC